CAGUCGCCACGGUAAUACGUAGGGUGCGAGCGUUAAUCGGAAUUACUGGGCGUAAAGCGUGCGCAGGCGGUUUUGUAAGACAGGCGUGAAAUCCCUGGGCUCAACCUGGGAAUGGCGCUUGUGACUGCAAAGCUAGAGUGCGGCAGAGGGGGAUGGAAUUCCGCGUGUAGCAGUGAAAUGCGUAGAUAUGCGGAGGAACACCGAUGGCGAAGGCAAUCCCCUGGGCCUGCACUGACGCUCAUGCACGAAAGCGUGGGGAGCAAACAGGAUUAGAUACCCGUGUAGUCCCUGUCUCUUAUAA
This 301-nucleotide ribosomal RNA is filed under the name uncultured bacterium. RNAcentral describes it as "partial 16S ribosomal RNA". It matches the Rfam family "Bacterial small subunit ribosomal RNA", at positions 509 to 809 of the family's 1533-position model. The record is from RNAcentral.